RNAcentral lists this unclassified non-coding RNA (291 nucleotides) under Gloeomyces sp. Its description in RNAcentral is "partial contains 5.8S ribosomal RNA, internal transcribed spacer 2, and large subunit ribosomal RNA". The record is from RNAcentral. Lineage: Eukaryota; Fungi; Basidiomycota; Agaricomycetes; Russulales; Stereaceae.
AACGCACCUUGCGCCCCAUGGUAUUCCAUGGAGCAUGCCUGUUUGAGUGUCACGUGAAACUAUCACUCUUGUCCUGUCGCAAGACAUGUCAGGAUGUGGACUUGGACUGUGCCGUAGUUGGCUCGUCUUGAAAUGCAUUAGCCGUGCUGGUUAGAUUCGGCCACCUGGUGUGAUAUACGUCUACGCCUACUGUGCUGUCUCUUCCUGAGCGUGGCUCAUAAUCGUCGCUUGUUCGACAACACAAAUUAACGCUCUGGCCUCAAAUCAGGUAGGACUACCCGCUGAACUUAA